GCCGGGCGUAGUGGCGGGCGCCUGUAGUCCCAGCUACUCAGGAGGCUGAGGCAGGAGAAUCGCUUGAAGCCAGGAGGCGGAGGUUGCAGUGAGCUCAGAUCGUGCCACUGCACUCCAGCCUGGACAACAGAGUGAGACUCUGUCUCAA
This 148-nucleotide small RNA is filed under the name Macaca mulatta (Rhesus monkey). RNAcentral's name for it is "Metazoan signal recognition particle RNA (ENSMMUG00000061927.1)". Lineage: Eukaryota; Metazoa; Chordata; Mammalia; Primates; Cercopithecidae. The record is from Rfam by way of RNAcentral.